Molecule: ribosomal RNA, 430 nt
Filed under: uncultured bacterium
Lineage: Bacteria
Description: bacterial SSU rRNA
Rfam family: Archaeal small subunit ribosomal RNA
Source: RNAcentral
GCGAGAAAACUUUGCAAUGUGCGAAAGCACGACAAGGUUAAUCCGAGUGGUUUCUGCUAAAGAAACCUUUUGUCAGUCCUAGAAACACUAACGAAUAAGGGGUGGGCAAGUUCUGGUGUCAGCCGCCGCGGUAAAACCAGCACCUCAAGUGGUCAGGAUGAUUAUUGGGCCUAAAGCAUCCGUAGCUCGUUUUGUAAGUUUUCGGUUAAAUCCAUGCGCUUAACGUAUGGGCUGCCGGGAAUACUGCAUAACUAGGAAGUGGGAGAGGUAGACGGUACUCGGUAGGAAGGGGUAAAAUCCUUUGAUCUAUUGAUGACCACCUGUGGCGAAGGCGGUCUACCAGAACACGUUCGACGGUGAGGGAUGAAAGCUGGGGGAGCAAACCGGAUUAGAUACCCUAGUAGUCCCUGAGCGGGCUGGCAAGGCGCAU